AAUAUAAAGAGAAAGAUAAAGAAAAAAGGAAAGAAUAAAGAACAAGAAUAAAGAAUAACAGAAAUACAAAGGGAAGGAUAAAGAAAAACAGAAAGAUAAAGAACAACAGAAAAAGAUAGAACAAGGGAGAGCUAAAGCAGCCAAAGCUGAGAAAAAGACAAAACUAAGAAACAGAAAAAGUUAAGAAAAACAGAAAUGAAAAAGGAAGAGUAUAAAAGGCCCAGAGUGGCACAUCUGAACACAAAAGCGGGUGGGCCAGCCUGAAGAAGGCUCAGAGAAGCCGAAACGUCGCGAAGGCCCACCACAGUGCACUACACCCGCUUAGGGGUAAUUUUUUGAUCAGGGGGCACCAAUACCAGUCCCAUGGAUGGACCGUGCACUUAGGUUCCGGCAUAGCCGGGCCUAGUCUUUCCCCACACCCUAACCAGCCUGUGCCUCCUGGGAUUGGUGGUGCCCCUGCCCAUUUCCUCUCUCCCUCAUUGUGGGGAGCCCCCCACCCACUACCUUAUCCUUACCCUAACCCCUUUGCCCCCCUCCCCCCUCCCCCUCUAGCCCUAACUCUAAGGGAACUCUAAGAAAGCCUAAAUAAAAGGAGAAAAAGACAAGAAAGUUCAGAAAGAAAGAACAGAAUACAUAAGGAAGGAUUUACAGGAAGGGGGUGCCAUAAAAGAAAAAUACAGACCACAGGACGGGAUGUCUAAAGAGAAGGGGGUGCCAUUUCAAGAAAUAUGAGAAAGAAUAAAGAAAAGAACACAAGAGAAAUAAAGAGAAAUAAUAAAGAAAAACAGAAAGAAUAAAGAACAACAGAAAGAAUGAAGAACAACAGUAAUAUAAAGAGAAAGAUAAAGAAAAAAGGAAAGAAUAAAGAACAAGAAUAAAGAAUAACAGAAAUACAAAGGGAAGGAUAAAGAAAAACAGAAAGAUAAAGAACAACAGAAAAAGAUAGAACAAGGGAGAGCUAAAGCAGCCAAAGCUGAGAAAAAGACAAAACUAAGAAACAGAAAAAGUUAAGAAAAACAGAAAUGAAAAAGGAAGAGUAUAAAAGGCCCAGAGUGGCACAUCUGAACACAAAAGCGGGUGGGCCAGCCUGAAGAAGGCUCAGAGAAGCCGAAACGUCGCGAAGGCCCACCACAGUGCACUACACCCGCUUAGGGUAAUUUUUUGAUCAGGGGGCACCAAUACCAGUCCCAUGGAUGGACCGUGCACUUAGGUUCCGGCAUAGCCGGGCCUAGUCUUUCCCCACACCCUAACCCUAACCCCCCUAACCCUAACCCGGGCCUAGUCUUUCCCCACACCCUAACCAGCCUGUGCCUCCUGGGAUUGGUGGUGCCCCUGCCCAUUUCCUCUCUCCCUCAUUGUGGGGAGCCCCCCACCCACUACCUUAUCCUAACCCUAACCCCUUUGCCCCCCUCCCCCCUCCCCCUCUAGCCCUAACUCUAAGGGAACUUUAAAAGCCUAAGCUAAGAGAAAAAAAGACAAGAAAGGUCAGAAAAAAGACAAAGUACAAAAGGAAAGGAUUUACAGGAAGGGGGUGCCAUAAAAGAAAAAUAUAGACCACGGACGGGAUGUCUAAAGAGAAGGGGGUGCCAUUUAAAGAAAUAUGAGAAAGAAUAAAAGAAAGAACACAAGAGAAAUUAAGAGGAAUAAUAAAGAACAGAAAGAAUAAAGAACAACAGAAUACAAAGGGAAAGAUAAAGAAAAACAGAAAGAAUAAAGAACAAGAAUAAAGAAUAACAGAAAUACAAAGGGAAGGAUAAAGAAAAACAGAAAGAUAAAGAACAACAGAAAAAGAUAGAAAAAGGGAGAGUAAGCAGCCAAAGCUGAGAACAAGAAAAAACUAAGAAACAGAAAAAGUUAAGAAAAACGAAAAGGAAAAAGAAAAGUAUAAAAGGCCCAGAGUGGCGAAACAGAACACAAAAGCGGGUGGGCCAGCCUGAAGAAGGCUCAGAGAAGCCGAAACGUCGCGAAGGCCCACCACAGUGCACUACACCCGCUUAGGGUAAUUUUUUGAUCAGGGGGCACCAAUACCAGUCCCAUGGAUGGACCGUGCACUUAGGUUCCGGCAUAGCCGGGCCUAGUCUUUCCCCACACCCUAACCCUAAACUCCAAACUCCACCCUCCCUCCCUCUUUCUCUCUCUCUCUCUCUCUCUCUCUCUCUCUCUCUCUCUCACACACUCUUUCUCUUUCUUACCCCUUUCUCCUGCCGCCCCCCCCCCCCCCCCUCUCAUCUCGGGUUCAUCACAAUGGAAGUCUCAUGCCCAGGAUGCCAACACAAUCCUUUUUAGGACACCAUAUUGGAGACAUGGUUCCUUGAGCCGGGAGCAGGGAUGGCCAGUGCAUUGGUGCUCGAUCG
Molecule: long non-coding RNA, 2354 nt
Organism: Astatotilapia calliptera (eastern happy)
Lineage: Eukaryota; Metazoa; Chordata; Actinopteri; Cichliformes; Cichlidae
Source: Ensembl